RNAcentral lists this unclassified non-coding RNA (406 nucleotides) under Zea mays. RNAcentral describes it as "misc RNA Zm00001eb274830". The record is from RNAcentral. Lineage: Eukaryota; Viridiplantae; Streptophyta; Magnoliopsida; Poales; Poaceae.
GUUCAUAUCAACAUUGUUAUCAAGCUUCAUUGUGUUCGAUCGCGCACCUGUUGCCUUCAAGCCCAUCUCCUGCAAACAUGGAUUUUGGUUAUGGCAUGCCUGAACCAGUUGGAAAAAUGAAACUUUGCUUGUAUGUUAUAUGCUGGCCGUGCAUUUUGCUCAUGGGCUCCAUGUUUUUACUCAGAAUGUUGUCUGCUGAGGUGCGAGGGUUCAAGAUUAGUCCAUGCAGUUUUAGGGAGCAGUGGGAAUUAGUGCUCUGGUGGGUGCUACACAAGUGCACAAUGAUUUUGUGUUGUGAAUUGUUUCAGGAGUCUGGUGCUAUGAGAGAUUUUAUAGAUUCAGGGGCGAUCACCGAGUAGUUGGUGCCUCCAUUAGAGGAAUACCAAUGGAUUUAAAGUUUUGUGUU